RNAcentral lists this ribosomal RNA (336 nucleotides) under uncultured bacterium. RNAcentral describes it as "bacterial SSU rRNA". It matches the Rfam family "Bacterial small subunit ribosomal RNA", at positions 458 to 793 of the family's 1533-position model. The record is from RNAcentral.
UAGCAUAUCAUUUGACGUUAGCUGCAGAAGAAGCACCGGCUAACUCCGUGCCAGCAGCCGCGGUAAUACGGAGGGUGCGAGCGUUAAUCGGAAUUACUGGGCGUAAAGCGCAUGCAGGUGGUUUGUUAAGUCAGAUGUGAAAGCCCGGGGCUCAACCUCGGAAUUGCAUUUGAAACUGGCAAACUAGAGUACUGUAGAGGGGGUAGAAUUUCAGGUGUAGCGGUGAAAUGCGUAGAGAUCUGAAGGAAUACCGGUGGCGAAGGCGGCCCCCUCGGACAGAUACUGACACUCAGAUGCGAAAGCGUGGGGAGCAAACAGGAUUAGAUACCCUGGUAG